GCCACGGAUGGGACGUGAUGUCUGUGUAGAGUCCUCCCUUAAUGCGAAACUGCGGCUGCUUGUACUGUCUCUGACCACAGGUGGCUGGGAGAGGAAAGCACAGAGAAGGGAGAUCAGACCUGCGGUCCUUGGAAAUAACGCGGCCCUGCAGCUCCCUCCUGGAGAAUGUCUACCCUGUUUUCCAUCUACUGCACCCUGUCCAUCCUUCAAGGCCUAGGUGAAAUCCCACCUCCUCAUGGAGCUUUCUUCACACACCCAACCCACCGGCUCCGAGCGGGCUCACCGGUACUGCUCAGGGAGGACGCACCAUGCAUGGCCUUGGUUGUGAGUCCACUGGUAGUUUGUGUCUUACCUGCCCAGGUCCCCUGUGUGAAACGGGCUCUGUGAGAAAGGCUGGAAGAGUUCACAGCAGAAGUAGCAGCUGUGGGGUCAGAGGACGUGGGAUCAGACCCGGGCUCUGCUACUCGGAGCCCAGUGAGCUUGGGCAGGCCAUGUGACUUCUGAGCUGGUUUCCUCAUCCAGAAACCGAAGACAGGAAGACUGCCUCUCACCACACUGUCAGGAGAACGCUAUGAGAGCACUUUGUUAUCUAGGGAGCCGUAUACGUGAGCUAUCCUCCUCCAUGCUCACCAUGACCUCAUCAUUGAUCAUUAAUAAAGGCAUCUGGAGAGAGAAGUUCAGAGCCUAAUGAAUUCUAAGAGAAACUGGCCGUUCUUCUCUUCCGUUUUGCCCCUCUGCGUCACCCUCGUGCAUGAGAAGUGAACACCUGCCCAGAGAGUUGUCAUCCCGCCAUUGCUUCAGUCAUGGAGACUCCCCCACCAAGGCCUUCCUGAAAAUCUGGGAGCUACACAGUCUGAACCAGACAGCUGUGAGGACACAGGAAGUGGCGGAGGGAAUGGUCAGUAAGGGGGGCUGGGCAGCGGGAGGUGGCCAAGGGCCAGCCCUUACAGCACUGGGGCACGUCACAGUAUUCCCACGUCAACUUGCGGUCCUU
This is a long non-coding RNA of Mirounga angustirostris (Northern elephant seal), 994 nucleotides long. RefSeq lists it as uncharacterized. The record is from RefSeq and is a predicted model, not a curated record. NCBI's taxonomy places the organism in Eukaryota, Metazoa, Chordata, Mammalia, Carnivora, Phocidae. The transcript is spliced from 3 exons.